Molecule: ribosomal RNA, 447 nt
Filed under: uncultured bacterium
Lineage: Bacteria
Description: SSU rRNA
Rfam family: Bacterial small subunit ribosomal RNA
Source: RNAcentral
AGGAUGAACGCUGGCGGUGUGCCUAAUACAUGCAAGUCGAACGGGAUCUUCGGAUCUAGUGGCGGACGGGUGAGUAACACGUUGGUACCUACCCCUAAGUGGGGAAUAACUGCCCGAAAGGGUGGCUAAUACCGCAUAAUCCCGCAAGGGUAAAGCAGUAAUGCGCUUAGGGAGGGGCCUGCGUCUGAUUAGCUAGUUGGUAGGGUAAUGGCCUACCAAGGCGACGAUCAGUAGCUGGAUCGAGAGGUUGACCAGCCACACUGGGACUGAGAUACGGCCCAGACUCCUACGGGAGGCAGCAGUAAGGAAUCUUCCACAAUGGACGAAAGUCUGAUGGAGCAACACCGCGUGCAGGAUGACGGUCUUCGGAUUGUAAACUGCUUUUAUAUGGGAAGAUUAUGACGGUACCAUAUGAAUAAGGACCGCUAACUACGUGCCAGCAGCCGC